GAGAUUCUGGGAUGGAACUUUAUCAAAGACAUGAGGACAGGUGAGUGUGUGGACAGGUGGACAGGUGAGUGUGUGGACAAGUGGACAGGUGGACAGGUGAGUGUACGUACAGGAAGAGCGGCAGACAGACGAGCUGAGGCAGAGACAGCAUCAGGUGCAGACUCGUCCAUGUGGAGCUGAACCAGGACAGAGGACAACUGAGCAUCGUCCCCACACUGAAGCAGAACGGCAG
This is a long non-coding RNA of Solea solea (common sole), 232 nucleotides long. RefSeq lists it as uncharacterized. NCBI's taxonomy places the organism in Eukaryota, Metazoa, Chordata, Actinopteri, Pleuronectiformes, Soleidae. The transcript is spliced from 2 exons. The record is from RefSeq and is a predicted model, not a curated record.